Dromaius novaehollandiae (emu) is the source of this 1806-nucleotide long non-coding RNA. RefSeq lists it as uncharacterized. NCBI's taxonomy places the organism in Eukaryota, Metazoa, Chordata, Aves, Casuariiformes, Dromaiidae. The record is from RefSeq and is a predicted model, not a curated record. The transcript has 4 exons.
CUAAUGAUAAGAUACUUGACAUUGCCUCCCACAGAACUUUCUACAAAAUGCAUACCAGCCAGCUACACACGGAGCUAUUGCCAGGGGAGAUUUAUGAUAAACAACUAAUCAGCAGAGUCUAGGGAGUAAAGGACUCUCUGUCAUUCCUUUCCCUGCUAACAAGCAAGUCUUCAGCGUUCAACAGUUCAAUAGCUUCUGUACCUGCAGCACCAGGGAUCAAGGGGAGGAUUAAAUGCAUGUCCCGGCCUGGCAUUUACACAGCACAAGGGUAAUGUCUGUUUGCACUCUACCUCACUUUCGUGCAUGUAAGAGAAGGAAAGAAGGAAUGGUGUAGGACUACUGGACUCCCUCUUUCACAAAGCUCAGAAAAAUGGAAAACAGGCUAAUCACUGAGGAAGUAUGCAAGUCACUAAAUAUAAAUCUAAACCGGUUUCUACUGCUACAAUAUCAAGUUUCCCUGAAGAGCAGCUCUCCUUUGAAAAGUGUCUCUGAAAAGUUUGUGCUGGGGGUUCUCAUCUCAUGGCAUCUUGGUAAUUUCCAGACAAAAUCAAAUUACUCUUCAUGCGGAGCUGCCUUUUCCCAGCGCUCAAAGGAAUGACUCGUAAUGCCGGCGAGACCUCGUGACAAACCAUGCCUCAUCUUGCCGUGCCCCAGGAUGACUCCGGCGGAUCCCAAAAGCUGCUCCAAGGAGCCGGGCGGACGCGCGCCUGGGGCUAAGGAGAUAACACGGGAUGAGUUAGGAUCUUCUCGUGCCUCUGCUGCAGGGCAUGGGACCAUACGUUCCCCAUGCCGAAGGACGGGAAAAUGGCAGCGCGUCACAUGGAAAACCGAAAUGUCAGGGAAAAACUACAGCAACGGACUGAGGGCUGGAGUCGGACCUCGCUCAGAAGGAUUCAGCUGGAGAAAACAACAGCUCUUUGGAGGAUUCAUGAGGUCUACCAGCUUGCAUCAUUAAAAAAAAAUCUAUUAUUAAAAUAAGAUGAUGGAAAAUGGUUGAGUUUCUACACCUUUUUAUGCUAGUAAAAAUGUUUGGUCAGGGUACGUCAUUCUCUGCAUCUUGAUUUACUUAAUGCAGAAAUGUGCAGAACUUUAAAAACCUGAACAAAAUGUGCUACAGAAAUUUUACUAUUUUAUUUUAAAUGAUCAAAAAUACUGGGAAGAAGAAGACACCUUUUUUUCUAAGUAACAAUUAAUGCUCAUGUCCUUUAAUUCCAGUUUUAUCUCUUAGUAUCUUCUGAUUUUUUUUCUACUUAAACCUAUCUAAUCAAUUUACACUUCUCUACUUUUUGUUUUCAAGAAUAAUCAGGUUAAUGUUCCUCAAAAAGGUGCAAAAUUUGCACUCAGCUAUACUAUACUUGAUUCUAGUGGGGUUUUUUUCAUUUUCAUCUGUCCUCUGAUCAGGAAAACAAUUUUAAACAAUCAUAUCUAGGAACUAAAGAUUUAAUGACCUCCAAAACUGUGUAAGAUAUUUUUUCCAUUGAACAGUAAGUCAAAAUAAUGUUUCUCAAUCCAAUUUUGGAGCAAGAUGAAAUAUCCUCAAAAAUUUGCACUUUUUUUCCAGAAAGAUAUAUGUGAAUCUCAAGAAAAAGAGGGGGGAAGACAAAAAAAGACCACAGCUGCAACAAGAACACUUUUACUGCCUGGAAAAGAAACCAAGAGAUCAUCUCUGAAUGGAAUUGGAAAAGGCAAAUUAAUGUUAUCACAAUAAAGACAAAGAAUAUUGAUAAGCAGAAAAGGCAAAUUUACUAGGUCUCUACUGAAUGAUUAAAGAUUGACUGCUAGUGAAUAAAGAAAUCUCAGUAAAGA